GUGACGACACGCGAUUGACGUAGGCUACGAAAACAUGACGAAACUAAAAUAAGUCUCUAAACAAUAUCGAUCAUCUUAUUUUGACUCGAUCGUUAAUGGCCCCUGUAGAUGGACAUCAUGAAUUGUUUGUGCAAAGCAAGAAAAUGGAAGCAAUAAGGAAAUGAUGAGUUUGAGGCAGGUUUCCCAAAUGUUAUCGGUGCACUGGACUGCACCCAUGUGCGUAUUAAGUGUCCAUCUGGUCCACAUGAAGCAGACUUUGUAAAUAGGAAAUCAGUACACAGCAUCAAUGUACAGAUGAUCUGUGAUGCAGAUUGAAUCAUCACAAAUGUAGGAAAGCACCUGUCUGAGGAAAGAGAAGCAACUAAGGAUUGUUGCAGAGGAAGACUGGGGCAUUGAAGCAGUAUUUGAAGAAAAUCAAACAGGCAGAAUUAUACGAGACACAUU
Molecule: long non-coding RNA, 444 nt
Organism: Triplophysa dalaica
Lineage: Eukaryota; Metazoa; Chordata; Actinopteri; Cypriniformes; Nemacheilidae
Exons: 3
Source: RefSeq, a predicted model, not a curated record